UUCCCGUACGAUCACCGAAGUUAUGCAGCUUUGAACCUGGUCAGUACCUGGAUGGGUGACCGUUUAAGAAUACCAGGUGCUGUAAG
Non-coding RNA from Acanthosepion pharaonis, 86 nucleotides. The record is from the annotation of a GenBank genome assembly. NCBI's taxonomy places the organism in Eukaryota, Metazoa, Mollusca, Cephalopoda, Sepiida, Sepiidae.